RNAcentral lists this ribosomal RNA (479 nucleotides) under uncultured bacterium. RNAcentral's name for it is "bacterial SSU rRNA". It matches the Rfam family "Bacterial small subunit ribosomal RNA", at positions 28 to 507 of the family's 1533-position model. The record is from RNAcentral.
GACGAACGCUGGCGGCGUGCUUAACACAUGCAAGUCGAACGGAACUUCUUGGAUAGAGGCUUCGGCCAAUUGAAUUGAAGUUUAGUGGCGGACUGGUGAGUAACGCGUGAGGAACCUGCCUUUCAGAGGGGGACAACAGUUGGAAACGACUGCUAAUACCGCAUGACACAUUCGGGCGGCAUCGCUUGAAUGUCAAAGAUUUUAUCGGCAAAGGAUGGGCCUGCGUCUGAUUAGCUAGUUGGUGGGGUAACGGCCUACCAAGGCGACGAUCAGUAGCCGACCUGAGAGGGUGAUCGGCCACAUUGGAACUGAGACACGGUCCAAACUCCUACGGGAGGCAGCAGUGGGGAAUAUUGCACAAUGGGCGAAAGCCUGAUGCAGCAACGCCGCGUGAAGGAAGAAGGUCUUCGGAUCGUAAACUUCUGUCCUUAGGGAAGAUAAUGACGGUACCUUUGGAGGAAGCCCCGGCUAACUACGUG